This is a small nucleolar RNA of Hyaena hyaena (striped hyena), 104 nucleotides long. RefSeq annotates it as small nucleolar RNA U13. The transcript has a single exon. NCBI's taxonomy places the organism in Eukaryota, Metazoa, Chordata, Mammalia, Carnivora, Hyaenidae. The record is from RefSeq and is a predicted model, not a curated record.
AUCCUUUUGUAGUUUGUAAGCAUGAUGAUUGGGUGUUCACAUCAUUGUGUGACAUGUGCCAGUCUUAAACCUUCAUACGACGUCAGCACAUUACCUGUCUGACA